AAUUUUGUCUCCUCUGUCUGCUAUGGGUCGCUGAUUGCCAGCGCCUGCAGCUAGCUAGCUAGCUGUACUAAAGCUCCGGUCGGGCCGGUCACGUAGCUGUUGACGAGUUGGUGAACUUGUCUUAGCUUAGAUUUCACGUUAUUCAUGCCUACAUGAGCUGCAUACAACUGCUCUAAUCGCUAGGAUGUGGAUGGACAUUGAUUUAAUUCCCAUUCAGCAAUUGGACUGAACCUGUACUGUAACACAGUAUGGAUGAGCUUCAUUGAAUUCCUCCAAGAGCUCUGUACUCUGUUCUGAUCAUUUUGAAGAUGCUUGCUUGACAGAACUGGGCAAACGAUUCGUCUUAGACAGGAUGCUGUCCCAACCAUAUUUGAUAUCCCCCCUCGUCUUCAGAAGAAUUCACACAAGCCAGGGAAACCCCCGGAAGAAAGACGUUUCGAUUCAGCGAACAACCUCCCAGAUACUGCAAAGACACCUGUACCAAAGUCCUCAGCACUUUCAUUUCUCAAGGACCACUACUACUCAAUACCAGAAAGUCCAGGAGGGGUAAAGUGGAAGUUAACAACAAUAAUGGACUUUAUUAAAAACUUGGAGAAGAGGCUGGAGACCACACAGAAGUGUAGAUUACAUGUACUUGCUGUUAAGUUUGGACAAACCUGACUUGCACAACUUUACAACAAAUAAUUUACGCUAUGUGCAUUCUGAUUAUUUAACAUAGCUCAAUGAAAUAGUUUAUCACUGGGCAUGUAACAAAAGUGAAUUCAUUAAAUUUGAACGUGUUGCAAAAAUGAUGUCUUACAGUAAAUUCAUUCUGGCUUAGAAUGUCGGAAGAGAAAAAAGUUUGUGAAAAGAAGGAAUGACGGCAAGCUGACUGAAGAAUAGAACAGGAUAGAGCAAGGGAAACUUAAAGGUCAACUUCACCCAAAAAAAAUUUUGAUUUGAAUAAAAAGAGAAAAAUAAAACAAGCAAAACACUGAAAAUUUGAUUGCAAAUUUGAUGUAAAAUGAGAAAGUUCUGAUCCAAUCCAAAAGUCAUUUGAUAUAGCGCCUUUUCCUUUCGGUUACAAAGCGCUGCACACACACUACUCCAUAUUUGUUUUGGCCACUAAAACAACUGUUCUACACCUGAGAAUGAUCGGUCUAGUCCAUGCAAUUAAUUGUCCACUUACCAGAAUAGAUGGGAUUUAAUGGCCUUCUCGAAUUGUUCAACAGAGGAGGCCAUCUGCACUGCAGCUGGUAGGUGAUUCCAUAGUUUUGCAGCAAUCACAGGAAAGGACGUUUCACUCGCACGUCUCUUGGAAAGGCGUUGAGUGAGCCAGAUUGACGAAGAUGAACGAGUAGUACGGACUUGAGAACGACGAAUGAGAAUGUUAUCGAUGUACUCCGGGCUUCUGUGGUUGAGCGACUUGAAGACUAGCAGCAAAAUUUUGAAGGCUAUCCUCUGUCUCA
Long non-coding RNA from Lytechinus variegatus (green sea urchin), 1448 nucleotides. RefSeq lists it as uncharacterized. The record is from RefSeq and is a predicted model, not a curated record. The transcript has 3 exons. NCBI's taxonomy places the organism in Eukaryota, Metazoa, Echinodermata, Echinoidea, Temnopleuroida, Toxopneustidae.